This 1023-nucleotide ribosomal RNA is filed under the name Rhizopus stolonifer. RNAcentral describes it as "SSU rRNA". It matches the Rfam family "Eukaryotic small subunit ribosomal RNA", at positions 86 to 1102 of the family's 1831-position model. Lineage: Eukaryota; Fungi; Mucoromycota; Mucoromycetes; Mucorales; Rhizopodaceae. The record is from RNAcentral.
ACUGCGAAUGGCUCAUUAAAUCAGUUAUGAUCUACGUGACAAAUUCUUUACUACUUGGAUAACCGUGGUAAUUCUAGAGCUAAUACAUGCAAAAAAGCCCUGACUUACGAAGGGGUGCACUUAUUAGAUAAAACCAACGCGGGGUAAAACCUGUUUCUUGGUGAAUCAUAAUAAUUAAGCGGAUCGCAUAGCCUUGUGCUGGCGACGGUCCACUCGAUUUUCUGCCCUAUCAUGGUUGAGAUUGUAAGAUAGAGGCUUACAAUGCCUACAACGGGUAACGGGGAAUUAGGGUUCGAUUCCGGAGAGGGAGCCUGAGAAACGGCUACCACAUCCAAGGAAGGCAGCAGGCGCGCAAAUUACCCAAUCCCGACACGGGGAGGUAGUGACAAUACAUAACAAUGCAGGGCCUUUAAGGUCUUGCAAUUGGAAUGAGUACAAUUUAAAUCCCUUAACGAGGAUCAAUUGGAGGGCAAGUCUGGUGCCAGCAGCCGCGGUAAUUCCAGCUCCAAUAGCGUAUAUUAAAGUUGUUGCAGUUAAAAACGUCCGUAGUCAAAACUUUAGUCUUACUGGCGUAGUGGCCCUGGUCUUUCAUUGACCAAAGCUCAUUGCUGCCNGGGAGACUCCAUGUUUCAUUAGGGGAAAAUCUCUAGNGGGUUUUUUUUCUUNAUUUGAACAAUUACCAUGAGCAAAUCAGAGUGUUUAAAGCAGGCUUUUAAGCUUGAAUGUGUUAGCAUGGAAUAAUGAAAUAUGACUUUAGUCCUAUUUUCGUUGGUUUAGGUACUUCAGUAAUGAUGAAUAGAAACGGUUAGGGGCAUUUGUAUUUGGUCGCUAGAGGUGAAAUUCUUGGAUUGACCGAAGACAAACUACUGCGAAAGCAUUUGACCCGGGACGUUUUCAUUGAUCAAGGUCUAAAGUUAAGGGAUCGAAGACGAUUAGAUACCGUCGUAGUCUUAACCACAAACUAUGCCGACUAGAGAUUGGGCGUGUUUAUUAUGACUCGCUCAGCAUCUUAGCGAAAGUAAA